UAGCUCAAUGGUAGAGCAGCGGCCUUUUAAGCCAAAGGUCUGUGGUUCGAUUCCUAG
Daphnia pulex (common water flea) is the source of this 57-nucleotide non-coding RNA. NCBI's taxonomy places the organism in Eukaryota, Metazoa, Arthropoda, Branchiopoda, Diplostraca, Daphniidae. The record is from Rfam.